This 29-nucleotide ribosomal RNA is filed under the name Coprinellus deminutus. RNAcentral describes it as "partial 18S ribosomal RNA". Lineage: Eukaryota; Fungi; Basidiomycota; Agaricomycetes; Agaricales; Psathyrellaceae. The record is from RNAcentral.
ACCUGCGGAAGGAUCAUUACCGAAUAACU